RNAcentral lists this ribosomal RNA (740 nucleotides) under uncultured bacterium. RNAcentral describes it as "bacterial SSU rRNA". It matches the Rfam family "Bacterial small subunit ribosomal RNA", at positions 8 to 796 of the family's 1533-position model. The record is from RNAcentral.
AGAGUUUGAUCAUGGCUCAGAACGAACGCUGGCGGCAGGCCUAACACAUGCAAGUCGAACGCACCUUUCGGGGUGGNGGCAGACGGGUGAGUAACACGUGGGAACGUGCCUUUCGGUUCGGGAUAACCCAGGGAAACUUGGGCUAAUACCGGAUACGCCCUUUGGGGGAAAGAUUUAUUGCCGAAAGAUCGGCCCGCGUCUGAUUAGCUAGUUGGUGGGGUAAUGGCCUACCAAGGCGACGAUCAGUAGCUGGUCUGAGAGGAUGAUCAGCCACACUGGGACUGAGACACGGCCCAGACUCCUACGGGAGGCAGCAGUGGGGAAUAUUGGACAAUGGGCGCAAGCCUGAUCCAGCCAUGCCGCGUGAGUGAUGAAGGCCCUAGGGUUGUAAAGCUCUUUCGGCGGGGACGAUAAUGACGGUACCCGCAGAAGAAGCCCCGGCUAACUUCGUGCCAGCAGCCGCGGUAAUACGAAGGGGGCUAGCGUUGUUCGGAAUCACUGGGCGUAAAGGGCGCGUAGGCGGCCAUUCAAGUCGGGGGUGAAAGCCUGUGGCUCAACCACAGAAUUGCCUUCGAUACUGUUUGGCUUGAGACCGGAAGAGGUAAGUGGAACUGCGAGUGUAGAGGUGAAAUUCGUAGAUAUUCGCAAGAACACCAGUGCGAAGGCGGCUUACUGGUCCGGUUCUGACGCUGAGGCGCGAAAGCGUGGGGAGCAAACAGGAUUAGAUACCCUAGUAGUCC